ACAAAUUCAUUUACUUUUAGGCCAUUAAGUUAAGCUCUACUACUCAAUUACUGAAUUCCACGGGCACAUACUUCACUAGUUCCUCACCAGGAGAAGUGGUCCAAAGAAAACGACAAGAAUAAUUACACACUUCAAUAAGAACACAGCUUCCUUGACUGCUCCUACAAGUCCAGUCAAUACUUUCUCAUCUCCUUAUGCUCAUUACCAACAUUCUUGCUUUUCUGUGUUGGCUUCUCUAGCUUGCACUUUUUUUUUUCUUCUUUGCCUCCUCAAACUUGGGCAUUGCAUCGUUUGCAAUCUCAUCUCUAGCAACUAAA
This 317-nucleotide long non-coding RNA is filed under the name Hordeum vulgare. Its description in RNAcentral is "long non-coding RNA (HVUL_LNC006060)". Lineage: Eukaryota; Viridiplantae; Streptophyta; Magnoliopsida; Poales; Poaceae. The record is from RNAcentral.